CUCUAGCCUUUUCUCUCUAUCCUGUUGGGAUAAAAAUUCUUGUGUAAACUUAUUUAACCCCUUAUUGGUUUCCCUUUUGUAGAAGACUUAAAUUCCAAGUUAAAAUGGAAAAUUUACGUCAAAUCAGGAAACAACUCUAUGCUUGCCUGCUUAGCUUGGUAUUUCUACGCCUACUGCCAUUAUAUGUGUGUAACCUAGCAUUUGUGGGGGUAUUUGUGAAGCCUAGAAUAAUCCAGAAAAUCCUUGAGACAACAUAUAGAAUUUUUUCCGAAGAAGACGAGUUUUGCCUCAUUAAAAGUGUAAGGCCCACAAAUAUUCCAACCUGAAGCUCAACAUCCCUGGACGCUCGAGCAACUACCUACGACAUCACCAAGCUCCCCUACUCAUGGCAUGAAAAAGUUAAAGACAUUAAAGAUAUGAUUAAUCACCAAAUCCUAUCUUUAAUACAUUCCUGAUUUAAUACAUAUCCUAAACAUUCAUGAUCAUAGGAUUGCCCAUUGGGCAUUGACAGUCUAUUAAGAUCAGUACAUGUUAUCUUCUCUUAGGGAGAUUGACUAGUCUUGAGUCAUUGGUGUGACUGACACCAAGACAAGUAUGUAGGUGCCCAAUAGAGAAUAAGUCCACUGAACACAAUUAACAAGGAGUUCUCAUACUCAUGUCACAUGAGAACUCAUGGUUGGGAUAAUCCAAAGUAGUCAUUUGAUCUGAGGCAUCAUAGUUGUCUUGUGGUUAGGUCCUUGAUCUUUAACUAUGUCAAAGUCACUCAUUUAAAGGGUGUCCACGGCAUACUUGGGGUUAAGCCACUUAGUCAUGGAGGCAAAUGAAUGCAUAACAAGGGAUCUCUAACCUUCAAAGCGUUUGAAGGAGAAUACUCUAUGAUAUGAUUAAGAAUCUCUGGCCAGAGUAUGAAUGAGAUUUAGGAAGUUGUUCCAAAUCACGUUCAAAGUAAUCAUAUAAGUAAGAGAAUCACAUUGGAUAGUAGACAUGAAUAAACUAUCAAACCAAACAAUGUGGUUAAGAGUAUUGUAUUAGAGAAAGACCGUAUUUCAUUGUAAUCCUAAACUGAAUGGGAUAUCUACCUCUUCUGAUUAGCUUGGGUAGCCAUGAUAUACUGCUAGGUGUCACUCAUGAUUUGUGGAAGCCCUAAAGGUGUAUAAUCACUAAAGGGAGAAUUGAAAGCAUGUUUCAAUUCACAAUUGAUUUGAAGAGUUCUAAUCGCCCAUUGCCUCGCUAAAAGGAACCUAAUGGAUCGUACACCGUGUAAGGUAGAGAUUGAAGAAACAACGGAGAUGAGUAAGAAUAAUUAAAUGGUUUAAUUAUUUAUGGUUAGGAUGAAUAAUAUGUUAAUUAAUCAAACGAAUAAGUUCGUUAUAGACCUCGGGUUAGUUUUGGGCCGCAAGGCCCAAUGGGAUUUGAAUGUCAAGCCCAAUAACUCAAGUUGUAUGACAACUUGAAAACACAAAGGGCUUCAAAGCCCAAUUAACCUGCAAUGGCCAGCCAUAUUGGUGAGGGUAGCAAACUUGUAUUAAUUGCAAGUUUGCCACUCCAUUGUGAGGUGUUAUAAAAGGAACUUUAUAGCCAUUUCAUCAUAAGGGUUUUCUUUGGAGAAAAGAUGAGAACAUAAAGCUAUCUUGACUCUCUAGGAGGCCGGCCACCCUAGGGAGAGAUUACUAGCAUCUAUCUCUUCCUAGGUUACUCAUCUCUUCAUCAAUGCUCUCCUUGGUAUGGUGACUUAGAGGUUCUCUAUUUUGGGAACUUGGAGAAUCCAUUCAUCCAUCCUCCUCCAAAAAAUCCAUGGAGCGAAGAAAUAAGGAAUGAAGGCCUUCUAUCUUGGGUGAUUAGCCUUUGC
This 1849-nucleotide long non-coding RNA is filed under the name Malus domestica (apple). RNAcentral's name for it is "long non-coding RNA (MDOM_LNC010306)". The record is from RNAcentral. Lineage: Eukaryota; Viridiplantae; Streptophyta; Magnoliopsida; Rosales; Rosaceae.